This 447-nucleotide ribosomal RNA is filed under the name uncultured bacterium. Its description in RNAcentral is "bacterial SSU rRNA". It matches the Rfam family "Bacterial small subunit ribosomal RNA", at positions 355 to 825 of the family's 1533-position model. The record is from RNAcentral.
UGGGGAAUCUUGGACAAUGGGCGCAAGCCUGAUCCAGCCAUGCCGCGUGAGUGACGAAGGCCUUAGGGUUGUAAAGCUCUUUUGCUGGGGACGAUAAUGACGGUACCCGGAGAAUAAGUCCCGGCUAACUUCGUGCCAGCAGCCGCGGUAAUACGAAGGGGACUAGCGUUGUUCGGAAUUACUGGGCGUAAAGCGCACGUAGGCGGAUUUGUCAGUCAGGGGUGAAAUCCCGGGGCUCAACCUCGGAACUGCCUUUGAUACAGCAAGUCUUGAGUCCGAUAGAGGUGGGUGGAAUUCCUAGUGUAGAGGUGAAAUUCGUAGAUAUUAGGAAGAACACCGGUGGCGAAGGCGGCCCACUGGAUCGGUACUGACGCUGAGGUGCGAAAGCGUGGGGAGCAAACAGGAUUAGAUACCCCCGUAGUCCCUGAGCGGGCUGGCAAGGCGCAU